This 253-nucleotide ribosomal RNA is filed under the name uncultured bacterium. Its description in RNAcentral is "partial 16S ribosomal RNA". It matches the Rfam family "Bacterial small subunit ribosomal RNA", at positions 524 to 776 of the family's 1533-position model. The record is from RNAcentral.
UACGGAGGGUGCAAGCGUUAUCCGGAUUCACUGGGUUUAAAGGGUGCGUAGGUGGGCUGGUAAGUCAGUGGUGAAAUCUCCAGGCUUAACUUGGAAACUGCCAUUGAUACUAUCAGUCUUGAAUACCGUGGAGGUCAGCGGAAUAUGUCAUGUAGCGGUGAAAUGCUUAGAUAUGACAUAGAACACCAAUUGCGAAGGCAGCUGGCUACACGAAUAUCGACACUGAUGCACGAAAGCGUGGGGAUCAAACAGG